AUUGAACGCUGGCGGCAUGCUUUACACAUGCAAGUCGAACGGCAGCACGGGUGCUUGCACCUGGUGGCGAGUGGCGAACGGGUGAGUAAUAUAUCGGAACGUGCCCUAGAGUGGGGGACAACCAGUCGAAAGAUUGGCUAAUACCGCAUACGAUCUAAGGAUGAAAGUGGGGGACCUUCGGGCCUCAUGCUCCUGGAGCGGCCGAUAUCGGAUUAGCUAGUUGGUGGGGUAAAGGCCUACCAAGGCGACGAUCAGUAGCUGGUCUGAGAGGACGAUCAGCCACACUGGGACUGAGACACGGCCCAGACUCCUACGGGAGGCAGCAGUGGGGAAUUUUGGACAAUGGGGGCAACCCUGAUCCAGCAAUGCCGCGUGAGUGAAGAAGGCCUUCGGGUUGUAAAGCUCUUUUGUCAGGGAAGAAAUUGCCUGGGUUAAUACCCUGGGUAGAUGACGGUACCUGAAGAAUAAGCACCGGCUAACUACGUGCCAGCAGCCGCGGUAA
This 502-nucleotide ribosomal RNA is filed under the name uncultured bacterium. Its description in RNAcentral is "partial 16S ribosomal RNA". It matches the Rfam family "Bacterial small subunit ribosomal RNA", at positions 30 to 523 of the family's 1533-position model. The record is from RNAcentral.